Small nuclear RNA from Echinops telfairi (small Madagascar hedgehog), 108 nucleotides. Lineage: Eukaryota; Metazoa; Chordata; Mammalia; Afrosoricida; Tenrecidae. The record is from Ensembl.
GUACUGGGUUCAGCAGCACAUAUACUAAAACUGAAACGAUACAAAGAAGAUUAGCAUGGCCCCUGCGCAAGGAUGACAUGCAGCAUUCAAGUGGUGAGGGCUUUUUAU